RNAcentral lists this ribosomal RNA (305 nucleotides) under uncultured bacterium. RNAcentral's name for it is "bacterial SSU rRNA". It matches the Rfam family "Bacterial small subunit ribosomal RNA", at positions 28 to 334 of the family's 1533-position model. The record is from RNAcentral.
GACGAACGCUGGCGGCGUGCCUAACACAUGCAAGUCGAACGGAGUGAUGAUUUUGGUUAUCACUUAGUGGCGAACGGGUGAGUAACGCGUGAGAAACCUGCCUUUCAGUGGGGGACAACAGUUGGAAACGACUGCUAAUACCGCAUGACACAUUCGGGCGGCAUCGCCUGGAUGUCAAAGAUUUUAUCGCUGAAAGAUGGCCUCGCGUCUGAUUAGAUAGUUGGCGGGGUAACGCCCACCAAGUCGACGAUCAGUAGCCGGACUGAGAGGUUGACCGGCCACAUUGGGACUGAGAUACGGCCCAG